GGGGCUGAAUUUAAGCUCGACGUUGGAACUUUAUCAGUUAGAUCAGCAGGUCGCUUGUCAGCGUAUAGACAAACUUAGACAAUUGCAAAAGCAUUUGACCGCGUAGCUGCUAUCAAGGACUUGGCUUCACGCCUUGCUCCUCAGCAGUUCGCAACAGCUGUAGCUUAAUUAUCUUCAGCCACGUCAUACGUAACAUCAGAUAGCGUAUAAACGUGCCAUAUUUUUCUGGUUGCGUUCGACACUUGAUCUUAUGUCGGACUAAGACUAUCGGAUCAAUACUUUUGUAGUUUUUGGUUAUUUAUAUCUACAAAAGUUAGCCAAAUAACCUAAGCCUGUAGGAUAGACUAAUUAGAUAAGCUAGCGGACGCGGGGGCAGUACCCGCCAGCUCCACCA
RNAcentral lists this transfer-messenger RNA (394 nucleotides) under Candidatus Saccharimonadota bacterium. It matches the Rfam family "transfer-messenger RNA". Rfam says of the family: Bacterial tmRNA, also known as 10Sa RNA or SsrA, is named for its dual tRNA and mRNA-like properties. Its role is to liberate the mRNA from a stalled ribosome. The record is from RNAcentral. Lineage: Bacteria; Candidatus Saccharimonadota. RNAcentral also lists the same sequence under 1 other name.